Molecule: non-coding RNA, 414 nt
Organism: Cinara cedri
Lineage: Eukaryota; Metazoa; Arthropoda; Insecta; Hemiptera; Aphididae
Source: the annotation of a GenBank genome assembly
UUUUACUAAAUAUAGGCAGAUAAUAUUAUUUAAGAAUAUAUUUCCCAAUUGUUUAUCAUUGUUGGUUGAAGUAUAAAUAAUAUAAGUAUAGUAACUAAUACAUAUAUUAUUUUCGGUGAUUCAUCAUUCGACAUUCAUAUAUAUAGAUAUGUAUAAAAGAUACCAAAUAUGGUCGGGGCUUAUAAUGUAGAAAAAAGUAGUUGUCAGUUCAGUCACGGACAAGUGAGUUAUCCGUGUGAUGUCAAAAGAGGAAAGGAUGAAACUAAGAAAAGAAAAAAAUAAAAAAAUUGUAGCUACCUAUAAGUAUUAUACGCGUACUUCUAUAAAUACAUCGGUAAACUUGCAUAAUAUAUUGUUUGGACAAUAUUAUUGUAUGGAACCUAUCUCGAAGCAGUAAGCAAAAUAAUAACACGG